This is a long non-coding RNA of Fukomys damarensis (Damara mole-rat), 1364 nucleotides long. RefSeq lists it as uncharacterized. The record is from RefSeq and is a predicted model, not a curated record. The transcript has 4 exons. NCBI's taxonomy places the organism in Eukaryota, Metazoa, Chordata, Mammalia, Rodentia, Bathyergidae.
AGUGCAAAAGCCUUGGGUUCAUUCAUCCCCCCAGUGGGUGCAUAUCAAGAUUUGCUUAGGAGAGUCCAGAAUCCUGGUCACAGCCCCCACUGAGCUGUCACACUAGAUCAGCUCCAUGGUGCACUUGACCAAGACACCAUUGGGCACAUGGUGGGAAGACCUGGUGUCAGCCUCAGCACUCAUUGGACCAUCUGUAGUGGAGACAACACGGGCUUGGAUCAGCAGGUGCAAGACACCAGGAGCCACCAGCAGCUUGAAGAAGCAAAGACGGAUCCUCCCUGUAGCCUCUGAAAGGAGCUCAGCCCUGCUGAUGCCUGAUGCCCCAUUCCUGCCCUGGAGAAGUGGAAGAAGGGACUCACAGCUAAGUCUUGGCCUUAAAUCUCAGAAGAUAUUCUGGAUUCAGCCUUAUGAGGCAUGUGAAACUAUUGGGAACCUGGCAACUCUUAGAGAUGGACUAAAUACAUUUUGCAUAAAAGGAUGAGCAUGAGAGCCUUUUGCAGUCCCUGUAAAGGCAAAGCGGGCCUUUAUACACCUUGAUAAUGAGGCUUCCCUAAGGAAGAACAGCUACAAGAGAGAUCUGUGGCCUGCAGGGCAAGGAUGAAGACCUGGAGGGGAAGGAAGGGCCUCAUGAAGCCAGGUGCAGUGGUGCACACCAAUAGUCCUCACUUCAGCAGCCUGAAGCAGGAGAGUCACUUGAGGCCAUGUCUUCCAGGCCAGCCUGGGAAAUAUCACAAGAAGCCUGACACAAGAGAAGGAACAGGAGGUGCCAGAGUUCAUGCAUUCACUCAGUAGUGAUGAAUGCCUACUGUAUACUAAGCACUGGAGCAUGCAUAGGGAAAAUAAGGGUAAGUGUAAGAAGAUACUCCUUACCUCCGCUGAACUUACGCACACUGGUGGACAGGCAUUAAUUAAAGAAUCACAUGGGAAAAUCUCAGCCAGUCCCACGUCCUGAGGGGAGAGGGACAGGGACUGCGGAAGGACAUGGUGAAGGAAGCUGACCUGGUCUGGGAGGUCAGGCAAGGGCCCCAAGGAAGCAGGGCUUAAACCGAGACCUCAGGUGUGAGGAAGAGCACUCUUGGCACAAUGUGUACAGCCUAUGCAAAGGUUCUGAGGCAGAGGACAAAUUCAGCAAAGGUGAGGCUUUGUAAAAAGGCCAGGUGCAAAGGAGGAGGAGGAGGAAGGUGGGUACAGUGUAAGGCUGGAGAGACAGGAAAGAACCAGACCACAAGGGCUAUGCAGGUCCUCUUAAGUGAUUUUGUCUUCACCCUGAGAGUAAUGGGGUCUAUUGAACCACUUAAAACAAAUGAGCAGAGGGCAGGGGAUUUAGCUCAGUGGUUCUGCCACUUGCUUCACGAGCGCAAGGU